AGAGUUUGAUUCUGGCUCAGGAUGAACGCUAGCGGCAGGCUUAACACAUGCAAGUCGAGGGGCAGCGCGGGAGUAGCAAUACUCUGGCGGCGACCGGCGGAAGGGUGCGUAACGCGUGAGCAACAUGCCCGUGGCAGGGGGAUAAGCGAUGGAAACGUCGUCUAAGACCCCGUAACAACAGACCUCGCAUGGGGUUUGUUUGAAAGCUUCGGCGGCCACGGAUUGGCUCGCGUCCCAUUAGGCAGUUGGCGGGGUAACGGCCCACCAAACCGACGAUGGGUAGGGGUUCUGAGAGGAAGGUCCCCCACAAUGGAACUGAGACACGGUCCAUACUCCUACGGGAGGCAGCAGUGAGGAAUAUUGGUCAAUGGGCGGAAGCCUGAACCAGCCAUGCCGCGUGCAGGAAUAAGGCCCUACGGGUCGUAAACUGCUUUUGUACGGGAGCAAUAAGGGUCACGAGUGGCCUGAUGAGAGUACCGUACGAAUAAGCAUCGGCUAACUCCGUGCCAGCCGCCGC
This 517-nucleotide ribosomal RNA is filed under the name uncultured bacterium. RNAcentral describes it as "bacterial SSU rRNA". It matches the Rfam family "Bacterial small subunit ribosomal RNA", at positions 8 to 518 of the family's 1533-position model. The record is from RNAcentral.